UGAAGGCAGUUGCUGCAAGGCGCUGUUUAGGGUUAAACUGGUGACUGGGGCU
This 52-nucleotide ribosomal RNA is filed under the name uncultured bacterium. RNAcentral's name for it is "partial 16S ribosomal RNA". The record is from RNAcentral.